RNAcentral lists this ribosomal RNA (441 nucleotides) under uncultured bacterium. RNAcentral's name for it is "partial 16S ribosomal RNA". It matches the Rfam family "Bacterial small subunit ribosomal RNA", at positions 338 to 795 of the family's 1533-position model. The record is from RNAcentral.
CCUACGGGAGGCAGCAGUGGGGAAUAUUGCACAAUGGGGGAAACCCUGAUGCAGCGACGCCGCGUGAGUGAAGAAGUAUUUCGGUAUGUAAAGCUAUAUCAGCAGGAACGCGACAAGACGGUACCUGACUAAGAAGCCCCGGCUCACUACGUGCCAGCAGCCGCGGUAAUACGUAGGGGGCAAGCGUUAUCCGGAAUCACUGGGUGUAAAGGGAGCGUAGACGGCUGUGCAAGCCUGAAGUGAAAGGCGGGGGCCCAACCCCUGGACUGCUUUGGGAACUGUACGGCUGGAGUGCAGGAGAGGUAAGUGGAAUUCGUAGUGUAGCGGUGAAAUGCGUAGAUAUAAGGAAGAACACCAGUGGCGAAGGCGGAAGACUGGACGGCAACUGACGGUGAGGCGCGAAAGCGUGGGGAGCAAACAGGAUUAGAUACCCCAGUAGUC